CAACUAUCAGCAAUGAGAGAUCAAGCUCCCAUCUUCUCCUGUAGGCCAAAGCACCAAGAACACCAGGGCUUAUCAUCUACCCAGUGCUUACAAUGCUCUGAAGUUACCUGUUUGUCACUUUGCCUGGGUGUUCAAGGACUGCAUUACAGAACAUAAACCCACAAGGGCAGAGACCUGUGUGCCCUCGCUUCUGCACAUUCUGUAUUUCCACCACCUUGCUUGGGCACAUUCAAUCAGAAGUUACUGAACGAAUGCAUGUAAGGAUAUACUGACAUCAAGUCCAAUGGUCUAUUUAUCAGACAAAAAGCCAUCAAUGUGCAAAAUAUUAAAAAAUUACCUAAACCUAA
Molecule: non-coding RNA, 347 nt
Organism: Heterocephalus glaber (naked mole-rat)
Lineage: Eukaryota; Metazoa; Chordata; Mammalia; Rodentia; Bathyergidae
Source: RefSeq, a predicted model, not a curated record